RNAcentral lists this ribosomal RNA (324 nucleotides) under uncultured bacterium. Its description in RNAcentral is "bacterial SSU rRNA". It matches the Rfam family "Bacterial small subunit ribosomal RNA", at positions 28 to 352 of the family's 1533-position model. The record is from RNAcentral.
GAUGAACGCUAGCGGAAGGCCUAAUACAUGCAAGUCGAACGGGCAUAUUGAUUUCGGUUAAUAUGUUAGUGGCGCACGGGUGAGUAACGCGUACACAACCUACCUUAUAUUGGGGGAUAGCCCCUGGGAAACUGGGAGUAAUACCGCAUAACAUUAUAGAGAGGCAUCUUUUUAUAAUAAAGCAUUUGCGAUAUAAGAUGGGUGUGCGUCUGAUUAGGUAGUUGGUAGGGUAACGGCCUACCAAGCCGACGAUCAGUAGGGGGUGUGAGAGCAUGGCCCCCCACACGGGUACGUGAGACACGGACCGACUCUACGGGAGGCAGC